Long non-coding RNA from Eurytemora carolleeae, 539 nucleotides. RefSeq lists it as uncharacterized. The record is from RefSeq and is a predicted model, not a curated record. The transcript is spliced from 3 exons. NCBI's taxonomy places the organism in Eukaryota, Metazoa, Arthropoda, Copepoda, Calanoida, Temoridae.
AAAUAUUUCUUAUUUAUUUGCUAACUUCUGCUAAAAACUUGCCAAUAGUUUAUUUUAAAACUUCCUAUUACAGUACCUAUUCCUAUCUAUCCUUUUCUCAACUUAUUCCUAUUGCCUUAACAGUUCAAACUAUCUCAAAACUGAGGAGUGAAUUGUGGCCAAAUAGCUUGUGGAAAACGUUUGACGAGAACCUCCUGAUCCUGUGCAGGCUGGUUGUAUGAGUCAGAACAUCUCACAAACGGACAGAAUAACGUUAAAACUGGGUCCCAGCUGACAAACAGACGGAUAUCGGACCUGGCGAUCUCGGAGCUACACCCCAAAACUGAUGAUUAACGUAAACCGUGCCCGAGAAGAUGAACGAGUGCGAGAAUAUCCUGACGAACCUCAUGGGAGCUGAGGGACCUCAUAUCGGUACUUCUCGGCGAAAAAUAACGCCUGAUGAACCUGAAACGCCCCCUGGACCGACAGACCCAUGAUGUCUCAAGAUGAGAGGAAAACUACGCAGCAACGCUAUCUUUUAAUUUAUAGCUCAAUACAAC